This 64-nucleotide transfer RNA is filed under the name Schizocephala bicornis. Its description in RNAcentral is "tRNA-Leu". The record is from RNAcentral. Lineage: Eukaryota; Metazoa; Arthropoda; Insecta; Mantodea; Mantidae.
UCUAUAAUGGCAGAAAAGUGCAAUGGAUUUAAGCUCCAUAAAUAAAGUUUACCUUUUUAUAGAA